AACUGCAGUAGCCUCGAGAGACUACUAGGUAUAGCUGUUAUUCCUGUCUUUUCACUUACUGCUUUACCCACUUACUAACCUAACCAGUAAGUCAGAAGACAGGAACAGAAAACGCUAGCUGUCGAGAGACUACAGCCACAGUUGUAGCUAGCUAGUUAGAUGCUAUUCACAGUAACUAUGAAUAAAGCAAAGUAGUCAGAACUCAAAUCAAGUUACAAUAUCGUCGGAGACGUCGAUGAGUGGAUCAACUUACCAAUGCUAGCUAGUUCUACAACUACAAGGUAGCUAGCUCGAGCAGGCUUACCUCUAUGGAUGGUGGAUUUCUGUGGACUAGGUCCAGGACAGAAGCAGAACCGUUUUUUUUGUUUGGAGACUGACUGGUCAAAUCAUCUUCGUCACCAUAUUUGACAACCAGAGAGUGAGCAUCCUUCAUGGAAGGGAAGUAGGCCACUGACUCCAGUCCCAGACACCUUCACUUGCCUCUUGUAAACAGCCGGAUGCACAACAACCUCGGAGGCGAAAUUGGCUACCACUUUCCCACCAUACUUCAGCCGUAGCGUGUACACACCAGCGAUGAGGAGCAGAUAUACCACCCUAUAGGAACUAUCUUGUACAAGUUCCAUCCUCAUUAUCGGAACACUUUAUUUUCGUCGGGCUGGGGCCGUCUACUGUCACCUUGAGCCGAUGGCUGCCGGAGCUGUUUAUGUCUAUGGUGAACUCUGCUAGGGUUCCCACGAAACCACCCUUGACCUAAAAAAAGGAUGAAAGCAUCAAAUGUUAUCAUAAAAGCUGUUAGUAUAUACUUUAAAUGAAGAGUAAUGCAAUGUCUCUGGAUGUAGUGGACAUCAUACAUUGGAGGCAUUAGCUGACCAGUCUGCCGGGCCGGUUACAUGCAAAUCAAGCUUGUACAACAAAUCAGUGCUGUCUGAAAAUCCCUGGUCCGUCUCUCCUGCAGUACAGCAUGCAAUACAAUUAGUAUGAGAAUGAAGAUAGAGAGUUUAUGUGUAAAAUCAGCUCACCAGGCUUCCCUGGCCCUUUAGCUGGAAUGUUUGAGCAGUUUAAUUAUGGUUCUAUUCUAACUCUGUCAGGGGUCACCUAAAAUAGACAACAAUUUCAGACAAAGACAAAUAAAUAUAUAUAUUUGUCUUGUUGAAUGGUUCAUAUUUUAAUCAUUCUAUUUUUACUUACUUUGAAAGGACUGCCAGGGACACUGACCCCUCCUCCAAAUCACACAGAUAGCAUGUUUGGCCAGAGUGGUUGGAGUGUAGUAGCAUGUAUAGAGGCUCCGCUCUUUACGAACCACCUCCACAUUGACUGGGACUUCAUCAAUGGGUUAGAGGAAUUAUAUACACAUAGAAUAAGUCCUACUUUAAGGCCAUAUACAACAGUAAUAACUGUAGUGAAUACUAAUGUACAUCAUAUCUAGCACAGUUCAUUAUGGCAAAGAACUUUAGUAAAGUGGGACCGGAGUGCCAAGUCUAGGUCCAAGAGGCUUCUAAACAGCUUCUACCCCCAAGCCAUAAGACUCCUGAACACCUAAUCAAAUGGCUACCCAGACUAUUUGCAGAUGCGAAUUCUGGAGAAGUGCAGAAUGUUCCAAAUACAUGGACAAGCACAGAAUGACCCAAAUACAUGGACAAGCGCAGAAUGACCCAAAUACAUGGACAAGCGCAGAAUGUUCCAAAUGCUAAAUAGAGCAGAACAAAUGGACCCAGUAACUGCAGGGAGGCACUUGUCUUGUGUGGGUAGCAUUUAUUUUUAUUCAGGCAUUUGUGGGACAUGAAAGGACUGUCCUCGAUCUCAUCUUCAUCACAGGUCACAUGCACAGCGUAUUGCCCAGGAUUUGUCCAUAGAACCUCAAAACACAAAUCACCUUUGUGUAAAAACAAGGCUAGCCAGAUUGCCUGUUAUGAGCGCUGAUUAACAUAAGAUGGGUAGAGCAGUGACAAACCUGAUUGGGGAUUGAGGGGGGCUCCAGGUUUCAGUUGAGCUUUGGGGAACAUGGAGAGGUAAGUCAUGAUGGACUGCUCAUCCACACCAGGGUCGAUGAACUCCUCUGGGGCAAUGACCUGGAUGCAAAAGAGAAACAAUGGUUAUGUAAAUGUUUGUAUGUCCUUUCCUGAUGAUUAUGCUAGCACCAAUUAUUCCCCAAAGUGGCCUCUUCAGGUCACAUGCAAAGUGACAUCGCCCCUACAAGCUAAAACAACGUGCAUGAUGUAAAUCUGCUACAUUUCAUGUCUUCCUUUCACUAUGAGCAAAGGACUCUACUUCCUGAAAGCUUUGUUUGUGUGGUGAAUUCUGUAAUGAGUGAUGAUGUCUAGGCCAAAAGAUUACCCCCCAGAGGCUGUUCCGAGAAGUUAAAACCUAAAAUGAAAUCUGUACAAAUUCCUAGAGUUACACCAAUGUUUACCAAUGUAAUGGGAACCAUAUGGGAUCUUGAGGGGUGCUGACCACUCUCAUAACAAAUCAGGGCACAUACGUUUUGAAGUGUCAGCCCUGUUCCCCUGUGAUUUAGGGGUUUAUUCAGUAUGUAAUAUGUGGAAACCACAAGAGUGUUGAUAGUCCAAGGACUCACCUGUGGCACUCCCAUCCACUCGUCAGCCUGCUGCUUGGCCACUCUGGUAUCGUCUACUUGCUGUACCUCGUCCCAGCUCUCCCAGUCUGGACACAGGCAUGCAGGCAGGGAGAAAGACAGAGUAUCAAAGAUCAGGUUAUAGACUAAAUAAGCUAUAGGAAGUAUGCCUUACCCAGUAACAACAAAGCUGGAUGUUGUUUUCAUAAAUCCAGUUAUAGUUCACCUGGGGCCAGUCCGUCCACCAGUGUCCCAAGAGCCAUGCCAUUCUGCCAGUCCUGGCUGAAGUUGGUGAUAGGCAGUUCGGGCACCUUGUCCAGGAUCCACCCAGCAGCCGUAGCUCAGUGUUCUGUUUCUUGGUCUUGUCCUGGCCGUCGUCUUCCAGUAAACGAGAAGAGAUGGAGUAGUGUAGGAUCUACACCAACCCCAAAAUCAGCUUCAUAUUCCCGUCCACGAUGGCCUUACUGUCUGUUGAGGCAGCACCAUAUUAUACCCACAAGAAUGGAUGGGAGAACCAGUGUUAUCUAACACAAACAGUAUCACACAUCUCCCAGGGUAAAUCAAACAGUCCUAUAGUCUUCACUUUUAUAAUAUAACAAAUUGUGGCAACACGUGCAAUGACAUGACUGUACACAGUAACUGUGAGGUACAUUAAACAAAGACUGAACUGUAUCAUAGAAAACUGGCCAAAUUGUAUACUGUAUAAUUACAAGUAAUGGUACCUAGAAGUAAAAAUAAAUAUGGUAUCUGCACAACGCAACCCCAUGCAACCUCAUGUAAAGUGUAACCAAAGAAGUGUGACUUUAUCUUCUUCCUUAUCUUGGCCUGGCUGCCAGACUGAAAUUGAUCCCCGAGUAUUUAACUUACCUAUGGACACCAGCUUGACAUUCUCCUGUUCCAGAAACUCGAGCGCAACAGAGACAUUAUCUAGCCUCAUCUGUCUGAAUGUGGGCCUGGUGUUGUACUUCCUGAACAUCUUCUUAUGGCUCAAGACCUCCAGUAGGGUGAUGAGAGUCAGCCUGUCGUUUAGGUCAAACUGAAGGUCACCUAUGAACCUGUUUACACAUUUCAGGUGCUCGUUGCACCACCGUGUGAUGGUGUUCUUCUGGAUAUUCUUCAAUGGUGCAUCAUCUGCCAGGUUACACUCAGCGGCACACAUACUGUGUUCAGCCAGAGAGACCUCGCUCUUGGUAAAUGGCAUACUGUAAUAUACUAACGUUGCUUGUUCCUUGUUGCUUUUUUCCCCUUCCUCUGUUGUUUAGAAUCAGAUCUGUCUGUCUCCCCAAGGUGCGGUGGAGCUUUUAAAGGAGGGCGAGGUGUAGAAUAUGAGAAGCGAUAACCUCACAGAUUUUAGGAGUUUUUGCUGGAGGGGAGGGACAAAAUAUUCCCUCUCCAUGUUAUCUUAACACAAAACAUUGUCCAAACUGUUAGCAUAGAAAGAAGUGCAUCAGACACUAGAUUUCAUGACCUCACUAGGAUGUGUAUUGAGGGUUAUUGGAUGGAGGUCAGUAAGACUACCCCUCAGAUGUAAAGCUGAUCCCCAUCUGGGGGCCCUAUGUGUAACAUCUGCUUCCAACUCACACCCUCAAACACAGCGCACUUUCCAGCCCACUUUCCAGCUCACACUCUCAAACACCUAG
Salmo salar (Atlantic salmon) is the source of this 4212-nucleotide long non-coding RNA. RefSeq lists it as uncharacterized. NCBI's taxonomy places the organism in Eukaryota, Metazoa, Chordata, Actinopteri, Salmoniformes, Salmonidae. The record is from RefSeq and is a predicted model, not a curated record.